GGGCCCGCACAAGCGGUGGAGCAUGUGGUUUAAUUCGAUGCAACGCGAAGAACCUUACCUGGCCUUGACAUCCUGAGAACUUUCUAGAGAUAGAUUGGUGCCUUCGGGAACUCAGUGACAGGUGCUGCAUGGCUGUCGUCAGCUCGUGUCGUGAGAUGUUGGGUUAAGUCCCGCAACGAGCGCAACCCUUGUCCUUAGUUGCCAGCACGUAAUGGUGGGAACUCUAAGGAGACUGCCGGUGACAAACCGGAGGAAGGUGGGGAUGACGUCAAGUCAUCAUGGCCCCUUACGGCCAGGGCUACACACGUGCUACAAUGGUAGGUACAGAGGGUUGCCAACCCCGCGAGGGGAGCUAA
This 356-nucleotide ribosomal RNA is filed under the name uncultured bacterium. Its description in RNAcentral is "bacterial SSU rRNA". It matches the Rfam family "Bacterial small subunit ribosomal RNA", at positions 917 to 1271 of the family's 1533-position model. The record is from RNAcentral.